Molecule: long non-coding RNA, 256 nt
Filed under: Ananas comosus (pineapple)
Lineage: Eukaryota; Viridiplantae; Streptophyta; Magnoliopsida; Poales; Bromeliaceae
Description: long non-coding RNA (ACOM_LNC024312)
Source: RNAcentral
UAAUUUUUGUGAAAUUAACUUGAUUUGAAUUAAUUUGAUACGAAAAAAUUGAUUUUCAGGCACUGGGUACCGAUACUAGGUAUUGGGUACCGGUACAAGGCAAACCGGUACUGUUUUGAGGUACUGCAGAACCCGAACGUUUUUUUUUUUUUGAGAGAAAGGUAGCAUGCUAUUGUCUGCCACCACGAAUGACGCACCUCACACGGUCGAUGGAUUUCAGCCAUCGAGUAGUAUUCAUGAUUCAGAUGAGUAUAUA